CUCUGAAAAGCGGACGCGCGAGCGUCCCGCCGACGGUGCAAGCCGACCGCUGACGUCCCGGGUGCCCCCCGGGCGCAGGCGGCCGGCGAAGCUCUCAGGCUGAUGACAGAG
This 111-nucleotide non-coding RNA is filed under the name Frankia sp. RNAcentral describes it as "Glycine sequence". It matches the Rfam family "Glycine riboswitch aptamer", at positions 9 to 86 of the family's 94-position model. From Rfam's summary of the family: This family represents the bacterial glycine riboswitch. Glycine riboswitches usually consist of two metabolite-binding aptamers domains with similar structures in tandem. The aptamers cooperatively bind glycine to regulate the expression of downstream genes. Lineage: Bacteria; Bacillati; Actinomycetota; Actinomycetes; Frankiales; Frankiaceae. The record is from RNAcentral. RNAcentral also lists the same sequence under 1 other name.